Long non-coding RNA from Arachis duranensis, 908 nucleotides. RefSeq lists it as uncharacterized. The record is from RefSeq and is a predicted model, not a curated record. Lineage: Eukaryota; Viridiplantae; Streptophyta; Magnoliopsida; Fabales; Fabaceae. The transcript has 7 exons.
AGGUUCAUAGUAUCUUUUGUAGCAGCAAUGCCCUCUGGAUCCCUUGCCACAACAAGGAAGGUAUCAACUUGGCCUCCUUUCUCUCAGAGAAUAAAGCAAACAGUUAUGCUUCACUUUUACUCCGCUAAUUUGAUGCGUGACGCCUCGCUCAACGACCGAGUGGAGCUCCGAAUUUUGGGUGACGUUGGUGCCAAGAUCCUAGUCAUAAACUUUGAUACCCCUGGUGUUCAGGGAGAGACGGAGAGAGAAUGAGAGUGGCGGAGGCCGGAGAGACGGUGCUUGUUGCUCUUCCACCUUUUAAUGCAGAGCAUCCUCAGACUAUAUUUGAUAAUAUUCUUAAUCGUAAGAUACCUUGGCCUGCAGUUCCUGAAGAAAUGAGUCCUGAAGCUCAAGAUCUUAUUGAUCGAUUAUUGACUGAAGAUCCUAACCAAAGACUUGGAGCUAGAGGUGCAUCAGAGGUGAAAGAACAUGUUUUCUUUAAGGAUAUAAAUUGGGACACACUUGCUAGAUAGAAGUGUGCCCCAGUGGAUUUGCAUCUUCUCACAGCUUCGGGAUCUUCGCAUUCAUUAAUGUCUUCCCUUGCCAAUUUAUACACACCGGAAAUACUUGGCUGGCCUCUCACAUGAAAGAUGCUACAGGAAACAGGAGCAGAUUAGCACAAAAUUGCUCACAUCUCACUCAUAACUCUGAAUGACUAGAAAACCAGAUACAUAAAAACUUAGCUUCAGCAUAAAAAUUUUAUCAACAAUGUUAGGGAAUCAAGAAGGUAUCAACCAAAAAUCAGCCAGAUGGCUCUGGGUGAAUCCAAAACUUCUACGUAAAUGAUGCUUAUGCUAGGUAUUAGGAUGUUUCUUCUAUUAAGUAUCAGAAUGUUUCUUUUUCAUACUAAAUUAAGAAUCAGGAUUGUU